GUGGGUAGUACGGUAGGGCCUGCUGCAGAAUACUGGUCUGAUGUAGGUGGGUAGUACGGUAGGGCCUGCUGCAGAAUACUGGUCUGAUGUAGGUGGGUAGUACGGUAGGGCCUGCUGCAGAAUACUGGUCUGAUGUAGGUGGGUAGUACGGUAGGGCCUGCUGCAGAAUACUGGUCUGAUGUAGGUUGGCUGGGCUACUAGAGGUAGAUGGGUCUGGUUGGCUGGGCUACUAGAGGUAGAUGGGUCUGGUUGGCUGGGCUACUAGAGGUAGAUGGCUCUGGUUGGCUGGGCUACUAGAGGUAGAUGGGUCUGGUUGGCUGGGCUACUAGUGGUAGAUGGCUCUGGUUGGCUGGGCUACUAGAGGUAGAUGGCUCUGGUUGGCUGGGCUACUAGAGGUAGAUGGCUCUGGUUGGCUGGGCUAUCUCUCUAUUUUCUCUCUCUCGCUAACUCUCUCUGUUCUCUCUUUGUAUUUCUCUUUGUAUUUCUCUUUGUAUCUCUCUUUGUAUCUCUCUAUUUUCUCUCUCUCGCUAACUCUCUCUGUUCUCUCUUACUAUCUCUCUUUCUAUCUCUUUGUUGUCUCUUUGUUCUCUCUUACUAUCUCUCUUUCUAUCUCUUUGUUGUCUCUUUGUUCUCUCUUACUAUCUCUCUGGUUUCUCUUAUCACUUUAUAUCUAGACUUUGAAUGAUGAAUUGAAAUGGAAUGGACUUCUUGAUAACUACAAAAGGACAAAAGCAGCAGGUAAUAAAGUGAGGGAACUAGAAGGUAAAUGACCCCAACUCAUGUAAAAGUUAUUCAUAGAGUUCAAUAUGUAUUCAACCAGUUGAAUUGACCUGUUGUACAGGUUAGCAUGCCAACAACUGUUUGUUACAACUCCUCCAGUCCACC
RNAcentral lists this long non-coding RNA (885 nucleotides) under Salmo salar (Atlantic salmon). RNAcentral's name for it is "lncRNA (ENSSSAG00000083349.1, ENSSSAG00000117651.1)". The record is from RNAcentral. Lineage: Eukaryota; Metazoa; Chordata; Actinopteri; Salmoniformes; Salmonidae.